Molecule: ribosomal RNA, 441 nt
Filed under: Phaeocystis sp. JD-2012
Lineage: Eukaryota; Haptophyta; Phaeocystales; Phaeocystaceae
Description: SSU rRNA
Rfam family: Eukaryotic small subunit ribosomal RNA
Source: RNAcentral
UGCCCGAAUCCUGACACAGGGAGGUAGUGACAAGAAAUAACAAUACAGGGCUACUUCUAGUCUUGUAAUUGGAAUGAGUACAACUUACAUCUCUUCACGAGGAUCAACUGGAGGGCAAGUCUGGUGCCAGCAGCCGCGGUAAUUCCAGCUCCAGAAGCGUAUAUUAAAGUUGUUGCAGUUAAAACGCUCGUAGUCGGGUUUCGGGUCGGGCCGAGCGGUCUGCCGAUGGGUAUGCACUGUUUGGCGCGGCCUUCUUUCCGGAGACCGCGGCUACUCUUAACUGAGCGGGCGUGGGAGACGGAUCGUUUACUUUGAAAAAAUCAGAGUGUUUCAAGCAGGCAGCUCGCUCUUGCAUGGUACAGCAUGGGAUGAUUGAAUAGGACUCCGGUGCUAUUUUGUUGGUUUCGAACACCAGGAGUAAUGAUUAACAGGGACAGUCAG